This 467-nucleotide ribosomal RNA is filed under the name uncultured bacterium. Its description in RNAcentral is "partial 16S ribosomal RNA". It matches the Rfam family "Bacterial small subunit ribosomal RNA", at positions 29 to 507 of the family's 1533-position model. The record is from RNAcentral.
ACGAACGCUGGCGGCGUGCUUAACACAUGCAAGUCGAACGGAAAGGCCCUGCUUUUGUGGGGUGCUCGAGUGGCGAACGGGUGAGUAACACGUGAGUAACCUGCCCUUGACUUUGGGAUAACUUCAGGAAACUGGGGCUAAUACCGGAUAGGAGCUCCUGCUGCAUGGUGGGGGUUGGAAAGUUUCGGCGGUUGGGGAUGGACUCGCGGCUUAUCAGCUUGUUGGUGGGGUAGUGGCUUACCAAGGCGUUGACGGGUAGCCGGCCUGAGAGGGUGACCGGCCACAUUGGGACUGAGAUACGGCCCAGACUCCUACGGGAGGCAGCAGUGGGGAAUAUUGCACAAUGGGCGGAAGCCUGAUGCAGCAACGCCGCGUGCAGGAUGACGGCCUUCGGGUUGUAAACCGCCUUCGCCUGUGACGAAGCGUGAGUGACGGUAAUGGGUAAAGAAGCACCGGCUAACUACGUG